Non-coding RNA from Mizuhopecten yessoensis (Yesso scallop), 82 nucleotides. The record is from the annotation of a RefSeq genome assembly. NCBI's taxonomy places the organism in Eukaryota, Metazoa, Mollusca, Bivalvia, Pectinida, Pectinidae.
GUCAAGGUGGCCGAGUGGUUAAGGCGUUUGACUCGAAAUCAAAUGGGCUAUGCCCGCGCAGGUUCGAAUCCUGUCCUUGACG